GGGGAAGCUGGCACGCAGCACAGGCGCACCCAGAAACCCUUUGUGAACUUAUACCUUACUGUUGCCUCGGCGCAUGCUGGCCCCCCCGGGGGCCCCUCGGAGACGAGGAGCAGGCACGCCGGCGGCCAAGUUAACUCUUGUUUUUACACUGAAACUCUGAGAAAAAACACAAAUGAAUCAAAACUUUCAACAACGGAUCUCUUGGUUCUGGCAUCGAUGAAGAACGCAGCGAAAUGCGAUAAGUAAUGUGAAUUGCAGAAUUCAGUGAAUCAUCGAAUCUUUGAACGCACAUUGCGCCCUCUGGUAUUCCGGAGGGCAUGCCUGUUCGAGCGUCAUUUCAACCCUCAAGCAUUGCUUGGUGUUGGGGCACUGCUUUUACCCAAAAGCAGGCCCUGAAAUCUAGUGGCGAGCUCGCCAGGACCCCGAGCGCAGUAGUUAAACCCUCGCUCUGGAAGGCCCUGGCGGUGCCCUGCCGUUAAACCCCCAACUUUUGAAAAUUUGACCUCGGAUCAGGUAGGAAUACCCGCUGAACUUAAGCAUAUCAUAGGCCGGAGGAA
This 557-nucleotide ribosomal RNA is filed under the name Diaporthe sp. EF17. RNAcentral's name for it is "eukaryotic LSU rRNA". The stretch from base 182 to 335 matches the Rfam family "5.8S ribosomal RNA". Lineage: Eukaryota; Fungi; Ascomycota; Sordariomycetes; Diaporthales; Diaporthaceae. The record is from RNAcentral.